GAUGGAUGAGACAAAGACGAAGAACACGUUCCUCCUUUUGCCUUCCCUUUCCACCUCCCAUCCAUGUAUCAUCGCCACAUCCAGCUAUGGAAAUGCAGAAGUAGCCUUCUUUGCUAGAUCAGGAACCCAAGACAUAAAUGCAUCUAAAUGUGCAUCCAAGUGCAGAUUUAUCUGCAGAGUUUCGUUUUCAAUGGGGAAGCUGGUGUACCUGCCCUGAGGAAUAAAAAGCAAUCCUAGCUCCCCAAAAGUUCAAGUCAAGGUUAUCAACGAUUACCGACAAAGACGUUAAUGGCCUAGGACACAUAUACCCGAGGACCACCUCUCCUGAUAUGCCCCACUGAGAACAGCGGCACUCAUCCGAUCAAAGUCUUCUGAAGGUGCCACUCUACAAAUGGGAAAGAUCAGCAGCUGCCCAUCCCAUGAAUUCCCUGUUGUGGCACCCACUUUGUGGAACAGCUGGCCUGAGGAGGUCAGGAAUGUCCCUAGACUUCUACCAUUCUGCAGAAUGUGUAAAAUGGAAUGGUUCAGGAGGACAGCUUUUUAUAAGGGGAAUGGGGGUGUAGUAAAGUGGAAUUUCUCAGAAGGAUGCUUUUACAAAAGGAAUAGGGCUGUUGUUUAUGGUAUUGCUGAUUUCAUGCAUGAUCUUGUUCUUACUCAAUUGCUUUCUGAUUUCUGUUAAGCCAGCUUUUGUGUUUCAUAUACGUCAUGUCUUAUACUGUUUAUUACAUUUUUUCUAACUUUGUAAUCCGAUCCUAUUAUGCUGUUUAUUUUGUCAUAUAAUUGUUCAUAUUGCAUUGUUUUAAAUUUGGAAUCUGCCUUGAUUCUCAGCACGAAAGGUUGACUAUAAGUAAAGUAAAUAAAUAAACUUGUUUUUCCAUUAAGAUCUUCCUCAACUCCAUAUGCAUUUACCAUUUGAAGUAAAGUUGGUAAUUAUGUGAGACAGGAUGUCUUCAUCGGCAGUACAAUUAUGGCAUGUCCAGUGUCAAGAAGACAUGUACCUUGCUCCAUCUUUGCUUUUUUUCCCUUUCAGGAGCCUUUGGAAAGUGAGAACUCUCAAUUUUAGGUUGGAACGGUGUUAACAUUUUCUGCUGAUUUAUGGAUUUGCUUGAUUUUGUUACUUCCCUUUUUUUAGUUGCCUGUUUGUACUUGAUAUUGGAUUAUGAUACUAUGGUUUUAUUUUUAGUAGGUAUUGCAGGUUUUAAUGGAUUUUAGGUAGAUCAAUAAAGACUGAAAUGGGGAACAUAAUAAAUAAAUAUAAGCUACCUAUUACAAAAACUGACGUCUGCUUCCAUAGUUGAAGUCUU
Molecule: long non-coding RNA, 1304 nt
Organism: Eublepharis macularius
Lineage: Eukaryota; Metazoa; Chordata; Lepidosauria; Squamata; Eublepharidae
Exons: 3
Source: RefSeq, a predicted model, not a curated record